This 496-nucleotide ribosomal RNA is filed under the name Pseudoterranova ceticola. RNAcentral describes it as "partial 12S rRNA". Lineage: Eukaryota; Metazoa; Nematoda; Chromadorea; Rhabditida; Anisakidae. The record is from RNAcentral.
UUUGUUCCAGAAUAAUCGGCUAGACUUUGUAAACUUAUACUCUAAUUAAUGUUAAUUUAGAGUUAUUAGUAUUUGAUUUUUAAUUUUAGGGUGAAAUCAGAAAUUGUUUUUAUUCUAACUCUGAAUUUUAAGAUUUAAUAAACAAACCAGAUUAGUACCUGGUUAGAUAAAAUUUAAAAGAGCAGGAGUAGAGUUAUAUUUAAACUGUAAGAAUAUUGGCAGGUUUUUAAAUUAUCUUUGGAGGCUGAGUAGUAAUUGAGAACCCUCAUUUUCAACUUUUUCUUUUGGCGCAUGUAUGAUCGUUUAUUUUAUUCUGAAGGAUUGUAAUUUUAGUCUUUGCUGUAAAAAUAGAUAGAUAUCUGGCUUAUGUAAAAGAUUUAAUUUGGCCUACAAUAAAUUAUUUUGUGGAUCCCAGCCUGAGAGGGUCGGGUGAAAUUGUAAAAGACAGUAAGUUGCUUUUUAUAGGUAACUGAAGUUUAUUUAAAAACGGUACAAA